Molecule: ribosomal RNA, 600 nt
Filed under: Triticum aestivum (bread wheat)
Lineage: Eukaryota; Viridiplantae; Streptophyta; Magnoliopsida; Poales; Poaceae
Description: partial small subunit ribosomal RNA
Source: RNAcentral
AUGGCACUGGGGACGCAGCCGCUGCGGCUCCGCGUCGGAGUGGCCUCUGCGGCGUGCCGGCCUCCGAGCCCCGGCAUCCGGGCGCGCAGUGGCGGGAGGAGGAGGACGCGGUCUGUAGCCGUAGCGGCGGCCGCGGCGGUGAAGGGGGCGGCGGCGGCGGUGGUGCGGGAGUUCUACGAGGGCGUGAACCGGCGCGACCUGGCGGCGGUGGCGCCGCUGAUCGCGGAGGGGUGCGUGUACGAGGACCUGGUGUUCCCGCGGCCCAUGGUGGGGCGGGACCGGGUGGUGGGCUUCUUCGGCGAGUUCAUGGGCUCCGUCAGCCCCGACCUCCGCUUCGUCAUCGACGACAUCUCCGGCGACGACCCCUCCGCCGUCGGCGUCACCUGGCACCUCGAGUGGAAGGGGCGGCCGUUCCCGUUCAGCAGGGGCUGCAGCUUCUACCGCUGCGAGCCCGACCCGCAGCGGCCGCAGCAGAUUCAGAUCGUGUAUGGCCGGGACUGCGUGGAGCCGGCGACCAAACCCGGGGAGCUGGCGCUGGUGGUCAUCAGGGGAGUCACCUGGAUUCUGGAGCGCUUCCCUAGCCUUGCCGACAGGCUCUGA